AAUUCACUGAUCUAUUUUUGAUUGUGGGGUCCCAGUGUCUGUGAAAGAUAUGAAAUCAUCUACAGACUUUUUAAGGGAAUAACUUUCCACUGUGAGAACAUAAUUCCACACAUGAACACGCUGCUGGAGACCAUUAUUUUUACAAUCUCUGAGAGCAAUAUGUAUUGUGUAAAUUGGACUUUUGUUCUGGAGGAACCCUGGUAAGAGCACAGUACUUUCUCCAGCAAAAGGCCUAGACAGCAUAGGUCAAUCUAUUGCAUGGCUGACUGAGUUGCACUUGUUUCGACCCAGGAAAUCCUUCACUAAGGAGAAGGAGCCACUUUGGAAUAUCCAUUGCUCAGUCUAAAGGAUGUAAUUACAACCUCUCAAAUGGAAUAAUUAGCCCCUCAUUUUCAACACGUUCAGUUUUUGCAUAAUACACAGGAACCUGCAGUUGAACCAAAUUAAAUCCCUUUGAGAGCUGGAGAGUAGUAGCCAGGAUUAAAAAGCUCCAUUUGAGAGUCAAGGUGUUUCAAUAUGCAAGAGUUAAAGAUGAAUAUAAAAUAACGUAGUGAGGUUUAUUAUGUGUUGACAACAAAGAAUUGCAUUGUUUCUGGUAUUUUAAUCUGCAUCUGUUCUAUGUCAUAGUUUUUAUUCUUUCAUGCAUCAUUCUUAGAGCAGAUAAUUAAGAACCAACAUACAAAAUAACAGCUGCUUUUGUUUCCUCAAAACAUUUCUCAUUUCCUGGCAAUCUCAUAGUUUCUGAAUAAAUUUCAAACUGUGCAUAAUUAAAACCAUGUUUAUUUAAUGGCAUAAUAAUAACAACAGCAGACUGCUCACAGUUUUGUCGGAAAACCGGAUUUCUCAUUCCUUCCUUUACUACUGAAGCCAUGAGAAACACCUACAGAUUAAUUAACCAGCCAGUGGAAGAAAACUAUUCCAGAGGAACAUCAGGCUGUGAAUAAACACAAAAAUCAAUAGUGGUGGAAAUGAAAUAAGAAAACAGCUAAAUAAAGGUACAAACUGAUAAAUGAUCGCGCUGUGCAGGCUGAUAAAAAUCAGAGGCCAUUUGAAUUCUCAUUAUACCUUCAAAGUCUUUCCAAUCGCCCGUCCUGACUCAAUUAAGGAACAACAUGUCACAGGACCCCUGCGUCAGUCUGUCUCGUUUACUGAUAACCCCACUGGCCCGCGUGCUUGAUUUGGGUGACCACAACAUCAGUGUCAACAAAUACAGCCACGAAUGGCUCCACAUUUGUUGGAACACAUCCAUAGUUUUAGAAUUUUUAACAAGAUCAUCACAUUUUAUUACUUCAUAUGCAUUUAAUUUUUGUCUUGUGUGCUACGUGUGAGGAAAAGAGGCUCUAAUCCAUUAUCUAGUCCACGUUAUGUCUUCAAAUAAUGAACAUGUCAUUUUAUUUGAUGUGCUUCACUAAGCAUAACUCGUGAGAUCUGACGCUUGUUAACAGUACAAAGACAAAAAUAAUAUAUCCAAGUUUCCCCAGAGUGUAAAAAAAAAAAGAAAAAUUAAAGGUCUGACAUUGAAGAUUUUUUUUUAAGAACUCAUAGCAGGGUUUUCCAAGUGCACAUUUUGUCCUGUGUUUUCCUGAGCGCGCAUGUCGGUUAGCAGUCCCUGUGGCUAUCAGUAGGAAUCUACUUGCCAAACAAACGCCGGCACCAGCAUGGCGGACAGAUUCACCUCAGCAGGCGCCACUCUACCAGUUUUUUUGCCCCCAGUCGAGGACAUUGCCCCCGUCUGUCUCUGUUUCAUCAUCAUACCCUACUGCUGUCCCCAUCCAUUUCUCACCCCUCCUCCCCCUUGCUCCUACAUGCUUUAUAGGCUGCUGUAAGACAAUCCAUACAUUAUAUCUGCCAGCUGCCAAAGCCAUCACACAAAAACAGUGCCCCUCGACGCAGUCAACUGUUUCCCUAAAUAUGUUUUCUCUCAAAACUGGGUCACGAGUGAACCAGUGUUGGGACAUCAAGCAGGGGGGAGGAGUAUGGAGUACAGGUUAAUGGGUUGCUGGUCAAUGCAGGGACUUCCCCUGUCAGUGUGGAAUGAGAGGCAGGUUACAAUAUGCUGCUGGAACUUCCGAAAUUUCAAUUUUGUCUCUCAGAGGUACCUUCAGAUACAACACAUGGGGGGAAAACCAGCUUAACACUGAGUAUUAUUUCAGCUUUGCCUGACUCGAUUCAGAAAGCUUUCGUGGGGUGAAGAAGGAAAACAGACAGACGGAGAGAGACUACGCAUGUCCCAAUCAGAGAGCCAUUGACAUGUCGAAGAGGUUAACAAGUGAGGAGCGGAUCGAAA
Long non-coding RNA from Oreochromis niloticus (Nile tilapia), 2287 nucleotides. RefSeq lists it as uncharacterized. The record is from RefSeq and is a predicted model, not a curated record. The transcript is spliced from 4 exons. Lineage: Eukaryota; Metazoa; Chordata; Actinopteri; Cichliformes; Cichlidae.